GGGGACUCAGCAGCCAGCGGAGGCAGCAUGAUUUUUCUGCUAGAACAGACUCAUGCCAGAAGUCCUGCCAGACUCGGCAAGAAAACAGAGAAACGAAAGGAAGCGGGAAGGACUGUAGGAGUCAGCUGACAGGGGCGAUGCAGUGGCCACGUGCUCCAAGUCAGGGGCUUCUGAACCCAGUUCUGUAUGCCCAGUGAAGCCACAUGGUGGCAUCCACAGAACAGAAGCUUUAGCGAUGGCUCCACAAAGGGCUUCUCUGGUGAAGCUAGUUUCCUGAAAGUGAUGGUUCAUGACAGUAUCAACACCAGCCAUUACUGUGCUUUCCGUGCCCUCGCCCUCGGGGCCUUCAGCGGAGGCAUUUCCACCAAUGAGCGAGUCAUCAGUGUUACCCUCUCUCCUACAGACCAUCUUCGCCUCCACUUCCACGCACAGCCAGUCUGAGAUCUCCCGGAUCUCGUGAACACACCUGAUCAUGGCUGACAAGGUCCCAGUAGAUAAUCAUGAUGGCGGCCGAUGGCAGCUAAAGGGAGACGACCAGUGGCGCUGCCUUCUAGGAGCCCGGAGCUUGGAGCUGCGCUCAUGGGGAGCGGGGGCGGGGCCUUGCUUAAAUUUCAAACAAAAAAAGGAUCAAACCAAAAAUAAAAGAAAAUAGAGGGAAAUGUAGACUAUCUUUGUGCAUUUUAAAUAUACAUAAAAUCUCCAACAUGGAUAAAGAUGUUAUUCGAUUCUAUUUACUACCUGAUCCUUUU
This 749-nucleotide long non-coding RNA is filed under the name Homo sapiens (human). Its description in RNAcentral is "HSALNT0325908". Lineage: Eukaryota; Metazoa; Chordata; Mammalia; Primates; Hominidae. The record is from RNAcentral.